GGGUUGUGAGGUUAAGCGACUAAGCGUACACGGUGGAUGCCCUGGCAGUCAGAGGCGAUGAAGGGCGUGCUAAUCUGCGAUAAGCGCCGGUAAGGUGAUAUGAACCGUUAUAACCGGCGAUACCCGAAUGGGGAAACCCAGUGUGAUUCGUCACACUAUCAUUACGUGAAUACAUAGCGUAAUGAAGCGAACCGGGGGAACUGAAACAUCUAAGUACCCCGAGGAAAAGAAAUCAACCGAGAUUCCCCCAGUAGCGGCGAGCGAACGGGGAGGAGCCCAGAGCCUGAAUCAGCAUGUGUGUUAGUGGAAGCGUCUGGAAAGGCGCGCGAUACAGGGUGACAGCCCCGUACACAAAAGCGCAUGUGUUGUGAGCUCGAUGAGUAGGGCGGGACACGUGGUAUCCUGUCUGAAUAUGGGGGGACCAUCCUCCAAGGCUAAAUACUCCUGACUGACCGAUAGUGAACCAGUACCGUGAGGGAAAGGCGAAAAGAACCCCGGCGAGGGGAGUGAAAAAGAACCUGAAACCGUGUACGUACAAGCAGUGGGAGCACCCUUUGGGGUGUGACUGCGUACCUUUUGUAUAAUGGGUCAGCGACUUAUAUUCUGUAGCAAGGUUAACCGAAUAGGGGAGCCGGAGGGAAACCGAGUCUUAAU
This 654-nucleotide ribosomal RNA is filed under the name Salmonella enterica. RNAcentral's name for it is "partial 23S ribosomal RNA". It matches the Rfam family "Bacterial large subunit ribosomal RNA", at positions 1 to 688 of the family's 2925-position model. The record is from RNAcentral. Lineage: Bacteria; Pseudomonadati; Pseudomonadota; Gammaproteobacteria; Enterobacterales; Enterobacteriaceae. RNAcentral also lists the same sequence under 3 other names.